GUGUGAUCGGUCCCGUGGAUUUUUCACUCCGAUUUGGAGUUUUCCCACGUUAAAUUCUCGGUGUGCUGUUUUCUUUUCUGCUAUUUUAUUUUAUUUGCAUCGAGAUUUUUGAGUUUGCCGUUUUUACACCUAUUCACCCCUCUCUAGGUGUUACUUACCUUUUAGAUCCUCGGGAUCCAUAUCUUACAACAGAUAGCAUAAAUACAUUUAUAUUACAAAAAUCAAUAUAUACAUCAAAAAAACUGCAAAGCUAAGUAGUAAAUAACAUG
RNAcentral lists this long non-coding RNA (269 nucleotides) under Ananas comosus (pineapple). RNAcentral describes it as "long non-coding RNA (ACOM_LNC003166)". Lineage: Eukaryota; Viridiplantae; Streptophyta; Magnoliopsida; Poales; Bromeliaceae. The record is from RNAcentral.